Long non-coding RNA from Megalobrama amblycephala (Wuchang bream), 1224 nucleotides. RefSeq lists it as uncharacterized. Lineage: Eukaryota; Metazoa; Chordata; Actinopteri; Cypriniformes; Xenocyprididae. The record is from RefSeq and is a predicted model, not a curated record. The transcript is spliced from 3 exons.
GCUAUCAACUGCUCUAGGGUAUUUGCAUAGGGCGAUCUGAUUGGAUGACGCCUGCGUUGGCGCUUGAAAAGUUGAGAAAUCUUCAACUUCUGCCGCUUGCAACGCGAGUGAAGCGACGCGACGGAACCCACAAUUCAGUUCGGCAACGCAUGACGUCACCCAUUCAAAGUAAAUGAGAAGCGUUAACGCCGGCGCCCCGUGUGAAUGCAGCGUCACUGAACAAAUGAUGGCGUCAAUGGAAAGACUAACUGAAAAUCAAGCAGCCCGACAACAGCGACUUUGACUCAACCAAUGGCGAAAGUGUGACAUUUGUUGUGACUGUUUGUUUCGACUAAUAACAGGCAAGAGGAGUGUUGCCUGACAUCACGUACAAAUAAAGGUGUGUGAGAGGAUGGAAGAAAGGACCAAAAUGGGAUCGGGGAACAAAACAGGUCGGACACAUUAGUAGGUGCUUUAACCGUUCGGCCACAACACAGGCAUUUGGAUGGUGUUCAUCAACAGUGCCUUCAUGUCUACUUUUGGGAAUAUCUUCUGUGCAGACGUUUGCAUAUGAUUGCACAAAUUCAUCUCAAACGGCCUCACUCAGACGCCUCUUAUAUAAUAAAACCUGUGUGCGUGUGUGUGUAAUGAGCGUAAACAGCAGUCGGUGAGCAGAACGCUGAAUUUAUGCAUGCUCAUAAAGCAAAACAACAAUCCACCAGCUCAUAACAGUUGAUUAUUCAGUCUGAUCCGAUCUGACAGUGUACAUAAACACUGUGGGCUGAACUCCACAGCUGAUUGGUUCGGAAUCCAGAAAAACAAAGAAACUGUAUGUGGGAAUGACUAAAUGUUCAGUUUUGUCGAAUUUGUAUUGUCCUUUAGUAAGAUAUAAGAACAUUAGGGCCUGUUGUGCAUUUUCCUUACAUCUGCUUGAUUGAAUUUAUUUGCAAUGCUGAACUUCAAAUGUCAGAUUCUGCACACACUCAUUUUCUGUGAGCGGCGAAACAUCCUCAGUAACAUUAAGACAUGUCUUGCCUAAUUAAACUGUAAUUAAAUUUGUACUCCAGGGGUUCUAUUUUAAACACAAUACAAUAACACUCAUCCUGCUCCAACACUGGAGGAACAAACUUGAUAAAGUGGUUCUUGUAUUAAAAAUGUCACAUUGUGAAAAUGUAAUAAUAUAGGUUUUAAUGCAAAUGAUUCAGUUGAUUGAAGGAAAAAAACCUUGAAUCUGACUUUGAAUGU